Molecule: ribosomal RNA, 486 nt
Filed under: uncultured bacterium
Lineage: Bacteria
Description: partial 16S ribosomal RNA
Rfam family: Bacterial small subunit ribosomal RNA
Source: RNAcentral
AUUGAACGCUGGCGGCAUGCCUUACACAUGCAAGUCGAACGGCAGCACGGGUGCUUGCACCUGGUGGCGAGUGGCGAACGGGUGAGUAAUACAUCGGAACAUGUCCUGUAGUGGGGGAUAGCUCGGCGAAAGCCGGAUUAAUACCGCAUACGAUCUACGGAUGAAAGCGGGUGACCUUCCGCUCUCGCGCUAUAGGGUUGGCCGAUGGCUGAUUAGCUAGUUGGUGGGGUAAAGGCCUACCAAGGCGACGAUCAGUAGCUGGUCUGAGAGUACGACCAGCCACACUAGGACUGAAACACGGCCCAGAGUCCUACGGGAGGCAGCAGUGGGGAAUUUUGGACAAUGGGCGAAAGCCUGAUCCAGCAAUGCCGCGUGUGUGAAGAAGGCCUUCGGGUUGUAAAGCACUUUUGUCCGGAAAGAAAUCCUUGGCCCUAAUACGGUCGGGGGAUGACGGUACCGGAAGAAUAAGCACCGGCUAACUACGUG